This 778-nucleotide ribosomal RNA is filed under the name uncultured Neocallimastigales. RNAcentral describes it as "partial large subunit ribosomal RNA". It matches the Rfam family "Eukaryotic large subunit ribosomal RNA", at positions 23 to 649 of the family's 3401-position model. The record is from RNAcentral. Lineage: Eukaryota; Fungi; Neocallimastigomycota; Neocallimastigomycetes; Neocallimastigales.
AGAGAUGUGUGAUGACGCAUAUCAAUAAGCGGAGGAAAAGAAACUAACAAGGAUUCCCUUAGUAACGGCGAGUGAAGCGGGAAGAGCUCAAAUUUGAAAUCUUCAAGGUUCUACCUUGACGAAUUGUAGUUUAUAGAAGUGUUUUCUGUUAGUGGAGUGGCAAAAGUUCUUUGGAAUAGGACAUCAUAGAGGGUGAGAAUCCCGUAUUUGGUCAUUCUUCUAGCGUUGUGAUACACUUUCAACGAGUCGGAUUGUUUGGGAAUGCAGUCCAAAAUGGGUGGUAAUAUUUCAUCCUAAAGCUAAAUAUUGGCGAGAGACCGAUAGCGAACAAGUACCGUGAGGGAAAGAUGAAAAGAACUUUGAAAAGAGAGUUAAACAGUACGUGAAAUUGUCAAAAGGGAAGCGUUUGACACCAGUGUUGUUUUUCCGAAAAUCAAUUACGAAUGUUUUAUUUUUGAGGAGUUAUGACUUCAUCGGCUUGCUUCCUUUCUUUACGAAACUUUCUUAAUGCACUUUUCGGUUAACAAGUCAACAUCAAUUUCUUUUGUUGUAAAAGGGUAUGAGGAAGGUGGCUUUCUUUUCGGAGAAAGUGUUUAUAGCCUUGUGCCUCUGCAAUCGGAGAGAUUGAGGUCUGCAGCGUAGAUCCUUCGGGGUUAGAUACAGUUUGUGCUAAGUUAUAGCUUUUCAUAGACAACUUGUUGACUAUAGUUUAGUCUUGUAGCUUACUCGCUGAUGCUAUUUUACCUACGCUUAGGAUGUUGAGUAGCGACAUACGCAC